RNAcentral lists this ribosomal RNA (330 nucleotides) under uncultured bacterium. RNAcentral's name for it is "bacterial SSU rRNA". It matches the Rfam family "Bacterial small subunit ribosomal RNA", at positions 568 to 898 of the family's 1533-position model. The record is from RNAcentral.
UGCGCAGGCGGUUAUAUAAGACAGAUGUGAAAUCCCCGGGCUCAACCUGGGACCUGCAUUUGUGACUGUAUAGCUAGAGUACGGUAGAGGGGGAUGGAAUUCCGCGUGUAGCAGUGAAAUGCGUAGAUAUGCGGAGGAACACCGAUGGCGAAGGCAAUCCCCUGGACCUGUACUGACGCUCAUGCACGAAAGCGUGGGGAGCAAACAGGAUUAGAUACCCUGGUAGUCCACGCCCUAAACGAUGUCAACUGGUUGUUGGGUCUUCACUGACUCAGUAACGAAGCUAACGCGUGAAGUUGACCGCCUGGGGAGUACGGCCGCAAGGUUGAA